GACGAACGCUGGCGGCGUGCUUAACACAUGCAAGUCGAACGGAAAGGCCCUGCUUUUGUGGGGUGCUCGAGUGGCGAACGGGUGAGUAACACGUGAGUAACCUGCCCUUGACUUUGGGAUAACUUCACGAAACUGGGGCUAAUACCGGAUAGAAGCUCUUGCUCCGUGUGGGGGGUUGGAAAGUUUCGGCGGUGGGGGAUGGACUUGCGGCUUACCAGCUGGUUGGUGGGGUAGGGGUUUACCAAGGUUUUGACGGCUAGCCGGCCUGGGGGGGUGACCGGACACAUUGGGACUGAGAUACGGCCCAGACUCCUACGGGAGGCAACAGUGGGGAAUAUUGCACAAUGGGCGGAAGCCUGAUGCAGCAACGCCGCGUGCGGAAUGACGGCCUUCGGGUUGUAAACCGCUUUCGCCUGUGACGAAGCGUGAGUGACGGUAAUGGGUAAAGAAGCACCGGCUAACUACGUG
This 468-nucleotide ribosomal RNA is filed under the name uncultured bacterium. RNAcentral describes it as "partial 16S ribosomal RNA". It matches the Rfam family "Bacterial small subunit ribosomal RNA", at positions 28 to 507 of the family's 1533-position model. The record is from RNAcentral.